GUCUUAAGCAUGCAAGUCGAGCGGGCUUAUUCGGGCAACUGGAUAAGUUAGCGGCGAACUGGUGAGUAACACGUAGGUAAUCUGCCGUAGAGUGGGGGAUAACCCAUGGAAACAUGGACUAAUACCGCAUAUACUCUUGCUACAUAAGUAGAGUAGAGGAAAGGAGCAAUCCGCUUUACGAUGAGCCUGCGGCCUAUUAGCCUGUUGGUGGGGUAACGGCCUACCAAAGCUACGAUAGGUAGCCGACCUGAGAGGGUGACCGGCCACAUUGGGACUGAGAUACGGCCCAGACUCCUACGGGAGGCAGCAGCUGAGAAUCUUCCACAAUGGACGAAAGUCUGAUGGAGCGACAUCGCGUGAGGGAUGAAGGCCUUCGGGUUGUAAACCUCGGAAAUUAUCGAAGAAUGAGUGACAGUAGAUAAUUAAGCCUCGGCUA
RNAcentral lists this ribosomal RNA (436 nucleotides) under Brachyspira hyodysenteriae. Its description in RNAcentral is "bacterial SSU rRNA". It matches the Rfam family "Bacterial small subunit ribosomal RNA", at positions 46 to 499 of the family's 1533-position model. Lineage: Bacteria; Pseudomonadati; Spirochaetota; Spirochaetia; Brachyspirales; Brachyspiraceae. The record is from RNAcentral.